AAGGGUAUAGCUCAAGUGGUAGAGCAAAUGCUUAGCAUGCACUAGAUCCUGGGUUUAAUCCACAGUACCUCCU
Molecule: transfer RNA, 73 nt
Organism: Camelus ferus (Wild Bactrian camel)
Lineage: Eukaryota; Metazoa; Chordata; Mammalia; Artiodactyla; Camelidae
Rfam family: tRNA
About the family: Transfer RNA (tRNA) molecules are approximately 80 nucleotides in length. Their secondary structure includes four short double-helical elements and three loops (D, anti-codon, and T loops).
Source: Rfam